RNAcentral lists this ribosomal RNA (464 nucleotides) under uncultured bacterium. RNAcentral describes it as "partial 16S ribosomal RNA". It matches the Rfam family "Bacterial small subunit ribosomal RNA", at positions 28 to 507 of the family's 1533-position model. The record is from RNAcentral.
GACGAACGCUGGCGGCGUGCUUAACACAUGCAAGUCGAACGGAAAGGCCCCUUUGGGGGUCCUCGAGUGGCGCACGGGUGAGUAACACGUGAGUAACCUGCCCUUGACUUCGGGAUAACUUCAGGAAACUGGGGCUAAUACCGGAUAGGAAUCCUUGCUGCAUGGUGGGGGUUGGAAAGCUUCGGCGGUUUUGGAUGGACUCGCGGCUUAUCAGCUUGUUGGUGGGGUAGUGGCUUACCAAGGCUUUGACGGGUAGCCGGCCUGAGAGGGCGACCGGCCACAUUGGGACUGAGAUACGGCCCAGACUCCUACGGGAGGCAGCAGUGGGGAAUAUUGCACAAUGGGCGGAAGCCUGAUGCAGCAACGCCGCGUGCGGGAUGACGGCCUUCGGGUUGUAAACCGCUUUCAGCAGGGGCGAAGCUUUUGUGACGGUACCUGCAGAAGAAGCACCGGCUAACUACGUG